Capsicum annuum is the source of this 1600-nucleotide long non-coding RNA. RefSeq lists it as uncharacterized. The record is from RefSeq and is a predicted model, not a curated record. The transcript has 2 exons. Lineage: Eukaryota; Viridiplantae; Streptophyta; Magnoliopsida; Solanales; Solanaceae.
UGUUUCUUCUUUGGGAAUUUAGCUGGUAAUUGGAGUUUUUGUUUGAACGAAAGACGAAGAAGUCAACAUCGUUCGGGUGGUGGUUGAUUCUAAAAGUUUGUCGUCCCUUUUGCUACCCUGAAAGAGUUGAUAUGUAAAGGUAUUUCAACUGUCGUCAUUAUGGGAUAGUAUCGUAGUUGUCGAGAUGGCUUGUUGCUAGCAAAGUUACCCCUCAAGAGUCUUUGGCUUCUCAUACGCUGAAAGGACGAUGAGUGAGGUCCAAAAUGCGCUAGGAAGUCCAAGGAUCCCUCGAUAGCCAUGUCGCUCGAAUGUGGAGGAGGAUCAUAGUAACGUGUUGAUUUGUUCAUCAUUAUUGGGUGACAGUCUUAGAUUGUUGUUUUCGGUUUAACUGGUAACACCAUCCGAAGGGCUCCCUUGAGAGCUCUACUGUCUGUUUUUUUCUUGCCAAAAGUGGUAAUGAGAUAUGUCUCAAGUCACACCACAAAUCGCAUUAUUCUCCGAUAACCGUUUUGAUUGUUAAAAAUCUCAUAUUUUAGAAUUCAUCGAAAAGAGGAGAAGAAUCAAGAUGGUAUUCUCUGCCACCCCCCAUUUUAGUUUGUGGAUUACGUCUGCCUUUUAUUAUCAAAAACCAAAAUUUGAAUUUCCCGUUGUUUGUGUUCAAGAUAUGUUGUGAUUAAAAGGAAUAGGUUUUUUUUUUGGUUCCACAAUCGGGUUAAUGGUUCAGUACCUUCUUUAUAUUCAUAUGAUAUAUAGUGAUGAUAUGGUCUGCUGCUGAUUGUUACAUAACAAUCCUUGAGAACUGUGCCUUCGAUUCCCUAUGUGUUUCUAAAAUCUGUUAAGUUUAAAAGGAAAUUUUAAUCUGGCUAGGAAAUUUUUCUUUUAGAAUAGUCUAUUCUAUUUUUGGCCAUAUUCUUGCACCAGUUUGAGAUUUCGCUUGAUGAUUGGCGUAAGAUUCGUUUCUUUGUGUAUGUUCAUAAAUGCUUUAUUAAUUAUAUUGUAAACGACUUGAUUAAUUAUUGGGGUCUCAUUUAUUAUAUUAUAUUCGUGCAGUGAUAUGAUUGUUCAUUACUUCACUCUUCUCCAUUUUUUCUCUUUUACCAAUCGUAUACUAAUGAGUGAUUUUUCGUUCUUUGCAUGAAAUCGUGUGAGUCCUGCACGGACUCUGUUCUGUUUCGUGUUUUACAAGGGCCAAUCCGGCCCAUCCCAUCGAGUUGGUUUCAAAGAAAAUCCAUACGUCGAUUUCAUAGCAUACAAAGAGUCAAAAGAAGAAGAAAUGUGCCAAAGUCCCAUAUUUGAAGUCACAAAAGACCGGAGAGCCUUGUUUUCCUUAUCUUCACUUAUUGUCGUCUUAUUCAUAUAUUUAUUAUCAUCCUUGUUUAUUUAUUUGUCCAUAUUUCAUUAUUCAUUCAUUCGGGCCAUGAAGCCAAAGUUGUUUUUAAUACAGGUGGAGCAAGACUCGAGCCAAAGACUCAAAAACUAGAUUAGGACAUGUGAAAUGGGUUAAAGGCCCAAUUAGACUAGGACAGGUCUCAUUGAUUUGGGCCGAUGGCCUAAAUCCCUUACUUCCUCCCUUUCCCUCUACUCUUUAUGGUUUUUUUCC